GUCAAAAGAUUUCGCGUUGGGAGUGGGAAAUUGAGAUAAAACUAAAUAUAUUUACGUUAACAUAUUAUACCUAGUUAUAUUGUAAUGAUUUUCAUUUUGUUUGUUCUUGGAAGUUUAUACUUUCCCUGUGUUACAAGAUCAGAAUACUCUAAUCAUACAUUUAAAAAUACAAUUGUUUGUCGUUCUUGUGGUAAUAAUAUUACUAGUACCGAAGCAAUAACAUCUAAGCGUAGUUCAGAAUCUAGUCAUUCAUUUGAGGAUUCUGUUUUUAAUAGAGAUAAUGUUUUAAUUCAGCUAUUGUCAAAAGAUAACUUUGAAUUCCACGUCAUAACCACUUUAAAAGCUACGUGUGAAGAUUUCGGAGAGUGGCAAGAAGAGGAGUUGUGGUAUCCUGGAUAUCAGUGGAAGCCUUGUAUUUGCCCCGAGUGUGGUACAUUUGUUGGUUGGGUCUUUAAGAGCUCUGAUAUAGUAUUAUUCAAACCGAGAACAUUCUAUGUUCUUAUUAUGUCCAGCCUAAUAAGUGAUA
Papilio machaon (common yellow swallowtail) is the source of this 526-nucleotide long non-coding RNA. RefSeq lists it as uncharacterized. The record is from RefSeq and is a predicted model, not a curated record. The transcript is spliced from 3 exons. NCBI's taxonomy places the organism in Eukaryota, Metazoa, Arthropoda, Insecta, Lepidoptera, Papilionidae.